GUGAGGAAUAUUGGUCAAUGGGCGGGAGCCUGAACCAGCCAAGUCGCGUGAAGGAAGAAGGAUCUAUGGUUCGUAAACUUCUUUUGCAGGGGAAUAAAGUGCAGGACGUGUCCUGUUUUGUAUGUACCCUGAGAAUAAGGAUCGGCUAACUCCGUGCCAGCAGCCGCGGUAAUACGGAGGAUCCGAGCGUUAUCCGGAUUUAUUGGGUUUAAAGGGUGCGUAGGUGGUUUGAUAAGUCAGCGGUGAAAGUUUGCAGCUUAACUGUAAAAAUGCCGUUGAAACUGUCGGACUUGAGUGUAAAUGAGGUAGGCGGAAUGCGUGGUGUAGCGGUGAAAUGCAUAGAUAUCACGCGGAACUCCGAUUGCGAAGGCAGCUUACUAAGCUACAACUGACACUGAAGCACGAAAGCGUGGGGAUCAAACAGGAUUAGAAACCCGUGUAGUCC
This 445-nucleotide ribosomal RNA is filed under the name uncultured bacterium. Its description in RNAcentral is "partial 16S ribosomal RNA". It matches the Rfam family "Bacterial small subunit ribosomal RNA", at positions 354 to 796 of the family's 1533-position model. The record is from RNAcentral.